RNAcentral lists this transfer RNA (75 nucleotides) under Candidatus Woesearchaeota archaeon. RNAcentral's name for it is "tRNA-Arg". It matches the Rfam family "tRNA". Rfam says of the family: Transfer RNA (tRNA) molecules are approximately 80 nucleotides in length. Their secondary structure includes four short double-helical elements and three loops (D, anti-codon, and T loops). Lineage: Archaea; Nanobdellati; Candidatus Woesearchaeota. The record is from RNAcentral.
GGACCUAUAGUAUAACCUGGAUUAGAACGCGACCUUGCGGAGGUUGAAAUCAGGGUUCAAAUCCCUGUAGGUCCG